Molecule: RNA transcript, 1278 nt
Organism: Dreissena polymorpha
Lineage: Eukaryota; Metazoa; Mollusca; Bivalvia; Myida; Dreissenidae
Exons: 8
Source: RefSeq, a predicted model, not a curated record
CGUUAUUUGCACGUGAAGUCUUUUUUGUCAACUUUCGUUUUUUGUGUUUUAACGCUACCGUGUCAAUUUGCAUCUGAUCAUCUGAAGAAUCAUUUUCAAACCUACGUACAGGAUGGGUGGUAAACAAUCAACAUCGUUAGGAUGUCAUCUGAUGACUUCACGUGUUUGUGGUGCUGAUGAUUUGAAUAAAGUACAUCCGAGCAGUACUAAUCGCAAAGACGAAGAAGAUACAAACACGGAGCUUUCAAGUGAUGGCGAAGUAGAAAUAUUAAGCAGAUCGAUACAACUUCAAGAAGAAAAAGAAAACAAGAAUAAAAGACCCUCACGGAAAAAUCUGAUGACUUCACAUGUUCGUGGCGCUGAUGAUUCGAAAAGCAUACAUACGAGCUGUAUUAAUGUCGUAGACGGCGACAAAGAUCGAGACGUGGGCCGUUCAAGUUAUUUCGAGACGUGGCAUCUUGACAAAGAAAAAGGAAAACAGAAAAGAAGGGAGAAGUGUUCACCACGAUGUGUCAGCUUCAAAAGAAACAAGUUAGAAAGAAAAAAAGGAGUUAUCUGAAACUUGCAGCUGAAAAUAAAAGAGGAAAGAUGUGUGAAUUUGAGCAAGACUCGCAGUAGAAUCGAAAGUGCGAAUUGCACUAAAAGCAGUUUUACCAUACAUUGCAAUUCUCGACAAGGCCCAAUUCGAUGAAUAUUCCUUUCUGGCUACAGACCUAUGCUGGUUGAUGUGCAUCAUAGACCCACCGCUGGUCUAAGUAACAGAAUGCCGCCCUGGUGACAAAUUUGACAAAACACUGUUCCAUGAAUGCCUCAGACAUGGAAAAUAUUAUGUUUUGUGUGUUUGGCCAGCCGUUCUAUUGCAUAAAGGCGGCGUUGUUUUGAAAAAAGGGGUUGCACAAACGAAAGUUUAGAAAAAAAAAUUUGUUAGAAAAAAUGAACCAAUGCUUCAUUACUUAAUAACAUAUCUGACUGUUCGAUAUUUGGUAAAAGCUUACGCUGUUAAAAAAAUCAAAGAUGGUAUUGCAGACAAAUCUUAUUUAACAAAAAUUACUGUUUUGUCUAACAAUACGUGUUUCUAUGCAUUUAUAUGUAUGUGCCAUAACCUGAAUUUUUGGUGUUGCUUGUAUUGUGCGUGAUAUUGAAACAAACAUUAACAAUUUCUUAACGCCAUGCUUUGAACACUUGUAAAAACCGAUGUAACUUAUUUUAUGUUCAGAUACUUACGUUUAUAUAGAAGCAUAGUAACUAUAAUGGACAGAAGCAAAUACUAAAAAUAUA